CCUACGGGAGGCAGCAGUGGGGAAUAUUGGACAAUGGGCGAAAGCCUGAUCCAGCCAUGUCGCGUGUGUGAAGAAGGCCUUCGGGUUGUAAAGCACUUUCAGUGGGGAAGAAAGCCUUGGGGCUAAUACCCUCGAGGAAGGACAUCACCCACAGAAGAAGCACCGGCUAACUCCGUGCCAGCAGCCGCGGUAAUACGGAGGGUGCGAGCGUUAAUCGGAAUUACUGGGCGUAAAGCGCGCGUAGGCGGUCUGAUAAGCCGGUUGUGAAAGCCCCGGGCUCAACCUGGGAACGGCAUCCGGAACUGUCAGGCUAGAGUGCAGGAGAGGAAGGUAGAAUUCCCGGUGUAGCGGUGAAAUGCGUAGAGAUCGGGAGGAAUACCAGUGGCGAAGGCGGCCUUCUGGACUGACACUGACGCUGAGGUGCGAAAGCGUGGGUAGCAAACAGGAUUAGAUACCCCGGUAGUC
RNAcentral lists this ribosomal RNA (465 nucleotides) under Vreelandella stevensii. RNAcentral describes it as "partial 16S ribosomal RNA". It matches the Rfam family "Bacterial small subunit ribosomal RNA", at positions 338 to 795 of the family's 1533-position model. The record is from RNAcentral. Lineage: Bacteria; Pseudomonadati; Pseudomonadota; Gammaproteobacteria; Oceanospirillales; Halomonadaceae.